UACGUAGGGUGCAAGCGUUAAUCGGAAUUACUGGGCGUAAAGCGCACGUAGGCGGCUUUGUAAGUUAGAGGUGAAAGCCUGGGGCUCAACUCCAGAACUGCCUUUAAGACUGCAUCGCUUGAAUCAUGGAGAGGCGGGUGGAAUUCCGAGUGUAGAGGUGAAAUUCGUAGAUAUUCGGAAGAACACCAGUGGCGAAGGCGGCCCGCUGGACAUGUAUUGACGCUGAGGUGCGAAAGCGUGGGGAGCAAACAGG
Molecule: ribosomal RNA, 253 nt
Filed under: uncultured bacterium
Lineage: Bacteria
Description: partial 16S ribosomal RNA
Rfam family: Bacterial small subunit ribosomal RNA
Source: RNAcentral